GACGAACGCUGGCGGCGUGCUUAACACAUGCAAGUCGAGCGGUAAGGCCCUUUCGGGGGUACACGAGCGGCGAACGGGUGAGUAACACGUGGGUGACCUGCCCUCAGCUCUGGGAUAAGCCUGGGAAACUGGGUCUAAUACUGGAUAUGACUCCACGGUGCAUGUCGUGGGGUGGAAAGCCUUGUGCGGCUGAGGAUGGGCCCGCGGCCUAUCAGCUUGUUGGUGGGGUGANGGCCUACCAAGGCGACGACGGGUAGCCGGCCUGAGAGGGCGACCGGCCACACUGGGACUGAGACACGGCCCUGACUCCUACGGGAGGCAGCAGUGGGGAAUCUUGCGCAAUGGGCGAAAGCCUGACGCAGCGACGCCGCGUGAGGGAUGACGGCCUGG
Molecule: ribosomal RNA, 390 nt
Filed under: uncultured bacterium
Lineage: Bacteria
Description: bacterial SSU rRNA
Rfam family: Bacterial small subunit ribosomal RNA
Source: RNAcentral